UCGCAUGGACGACAUUGAUCUCUUGGGC
Molecule: small RNA, 28 nt
Filed under: Bombyx mori (domestic silkworm)
Lineage: Eukaryota; Metazoa; Arthropoda; Insecta; Lepidoptera; Bombycidae
Description: ovarian small RNA-28633
Source: RNAcentral